This is a long non-coding RNA of Paramormyrops kingsleyae, 1049 nucleotides long. RefSeq lists it as uncharacterized. NCBI's taxonomy places the organism in Eukaryota, Metazoa, Chordata, Actinopteri, Osteoglossiformes, Mormyridae. The record is from RefSeq and is a predicted model, not a curated record.
AAUUUAAUAAGUUGUCACUGUUGUGUAUAACAAUAAAGAAUAUAUCGGGUCAAUAAAGAAAAAUAUAUGGAUAUGUUCAGUCUUUUUAAUUAAUGUUACUAUAAAAUAAGCCAUCACCAUUAUGUAAACAUGUUUAAUGUAAACAUGACGCUUAAGUACAGAAUUCAGUCAUCACCACGGCUCUGAAUAUGUCCUUGUCCACAGGAGAGGCAACAUGAGCCACCAAGCUGGACUUCAUUAUUAUGACGCAGACUUAUGCCAAUAUGCUGUAAAGGCAGGCUAGAUUUACACGCAGUGUGUAAAUUCGUCCCUUUGGACCAACGUGUUGACAGGUUUCCAUUGCACACCCAGAAUGGUGCUCCUUGUGCUAAAACCAGCUCCCAGUGAUGCGAGGCUCCACGAGGACUGUAAUCCCCAGUCGCGCAUAAAUCUAAGUCCAACUGCUGACUAUAAAUUCGAAAAAAGACGGCGGCGUUCGCGCUCGCCAUGUGCUAGCCAGAAUCCAGUCAUCUCUGGUCUGAGCAGGACAUAGUGUUGUCUCACCUGGAAGUCAAAGCCAAUGGUGUCAAUGGAGACGACAGAGCGACGGGCGAAGUUCUGCAAGGUGCCGGUGAGGAAGGCCUGAGGGAAGAAGAAGCCACUGAUCCAAAAGACGGCCGGGACGCCAUCUGAGAUCCAGCCCUUCAGAAAGUCGAUCCUCUGCAGCAGGUCAGACACCCAGGAUGAGAGGGGCUUCAGUGAUGGAUAAGCCUGGAGAAGAGUCAAAGGGACAGAUCAGGUGACACACAAACUUACCUUUCAUAGAGAAACCUUUUAUCAGGAUGAGAUGGGCUUCAGUGAUGAACAGGUCUAAGAAGUCAAAGGGACAUAUCACACAAAUUUGUUUUACACAGAGAGACCUUUGAUCAGCUUCAGGCAGGGCCACAGGAAUCUCACCUUGGCAUUCCACAUGUCUGGCACUCUGUUGUUGUACAGGCUGUGGGCCAUCAGCUCUAGCUGUGAUGACAUCACUACCAGCCCUUUGAGAGCUUUUACCAGGUCAGAGAGGC